GUUGGUGGUUAUUGUGUCGGGGGUACGCCCGGUCCCUUUCCGAACCCGGAAGCUAAGCCCGAUUGCGCUGAUGGUACUGCACCAUGGAGGGUCCCUUUCCGAACCCGGAAGCUAAGCCCGAUUGCGCUGAUGGUACUGCACCUGGGAGGGUGUGGGAGAGUAGGUCGCCGCCAACC
RNAcentral lists this ribosomal RNA (176 nucleotides) under Corynebacterium diphtheriae. The record is from RNAcentral. Lineage: Bacteria; Bacillati; Actinomycetota; Actinomycetes; Mycobacteriales; Corynebacteriaceae.